This 190-nucleotide non-coding RNA is filed under the name Leptospira licerasiae. The record is from RNAcentral. Lineage: Bacteria; Pseudomonadati; Spirochaetota; Leptospiria; Leptospirales; Leptospiraceae.
AAAUCUCAGUCUAUUUUUGUAGGAACAUAGAUGUCUUCAUCUAUGGGAAGACGGUGCAAAUCCGUCACGGUACCCGCCGCUGUAAGAGGGACAAAAGGCACAAGAUGUCACUGGGUGUAAAACCUGGGAAGACGUGCUGAGUAGGACGAUCUCGAGUCAGAAAACGACCUUACAAAAAUCCUGAAGCUAC